RNAcentral lists this ribosomal RNA (425 nucleotides) under uncultured bacterium. Its description in RNAcentral is "partial 16S ribosomal RNA". It matches the Rfam family "Bacterial small subunit ribosomal RNA", at positions 354 to 796 of the family's 1533-position model. The record is from RNAcentral.
GUAGGGAAUCUUGCGCAAUGGGCGAAAGCCUGACGCAGCCAUGCCGCGUGAAUGAUGAAGGUCUUAGGAUUGUAAAAUUCUUUCACCGGGGACGAUAAUGACGGUACCCGGAGAAGAAGCCCCGGCUAACUUCGUGCCAGCAGCCGCGGUAAUACGAAGGGGGCUAGCGUUGCUCGGAAUUACUGGGCGUAAAGGGAGCGUAGGCGGAUAGUUUAGUCAGAGGUGAAAGCCCAGGGCUCAACCUUGGAAUUGCCUUUGAUACUGGCUAUCUUGAGUAUGGAAGAGGUAUGUGGAACUCCGAGUGUAGAGGUGAAAUUCGUAGAUAUUCGGAAGAACACCAGUGGCGAAGGCGACAUACUGGUCCAUUACUGACGCUGAGGCUCGAAAGCGUGGGGAGCAAACAUGAUUAGAAACCCCAGUAGUCC